Long non-coding RNA from Neopsephotus bourkii (Bourke's parrot), 2438 nucleotides. RefSeq lists it as uncharacterized. The record is from RefSeq and is a predicted model, not a curated record. Lineage: Eukaryota; Metazoa; Chordata; Aves; Psittaciformes; Psittacidae. The transcript has 3 exons.
UUCCAAAGUCUAUUAAUAAAGUGUAAUGAAUGAAGUUGAAUGAAGCUUCAUUCCAUGGCUCCUUCGUGACAGAAGGAAACUGCUGCCUGCCUGCUGUGUGUUAAUAGAAGGAGCAAAAAGCCCCUUAAAGCUGACAUUAUAUGGGCUCUGUGGUCCUUACGUGGUGCACGUUCUGGUCUGUGAAUGGUUACUUCCAUAUGCCCCAGGCUCAUAAAUGACAGCCCAACCAUCAGCUGUAAUAAUUUGUCUGCCUCUCAUAAGCCAUGAACUCAUUCAGCUCUUGUCAAAGUUCUUUAAGGGACAUAAUUGUUGCUUCUGCAUCUGUCUGGAGUUCUUUAAUUGAACAGAUAAUAAGGGGGAUCUGUCACUAUCAACCUUCCAGCAGGGUUUAUCUUCUUUCCUCAGAUGCUGUCCUCAUGGGGAUCUAAAGCUCCCCACAGAACACCAGGCAGGCUUCCGAUGCCCUUGACAUGGAAGCUUUAUGUGCUGAUGCAAAGAAAACUGGGGCACAGGAGCUUGGUCUUUUCUGAGCUGGUGACAGACAGAACAGAGACAGAACAGUGUCUGAAGUUGAGGAGAGCCUCUGACCAAAGCUGCUGUAGAAUAUCAAAGCUUCCUGGAGGAUUCUCACAGUACAAGGGCUGAAUUCUGUGGGAUUUAUAUGGAAACACACCUGUGGGCCUGGAGGAACACCACUGUAUGAGUCAGAGAAGGUGCCCCACUGCAGAGCUGCUCAGAGGCAGGAGGUGUGAAGUAUUUCCAGGAGCCAAGGAAAGCGAUUCCAAACUCAGUGUGAAGAUGGUGCAACUUCCAUGGAUCACAAUGGGGAUCUCUAGCAGGGCCAUGAGAAGCUGGAGGUAACUGGAGCCUAACACAGGAGACACAAAUAACUAAAGAUGCAAGGCAGCUGGAGCCCCAAGAUCCUGGUGGGGAUAUUUCUACCACCAGAGAGCUGCAGUGCUGAUGGAUUAACUCAGGAACACAGACAGUGCUCAGCCAAGAGAGUUGGGAACAGAUGGUACCAAAGGAGCAAGAAAUUCAUCUGAUGCUGCAUCCACCACUGGCAAACAUCCAGCAGUGAGCUCCUGCCCAGCUCAGACCCACCAAAGCUGCCAACUGAUCCAGGCACGAGGAGCUAAGGAAACCUGACCUGGUUAUUUCAUAGAACCCCAGCCUGGUUUGGGUUGGAAGGGACCUUAAAGCUCCUCCAGCUCCAACCCCUGCCACGGGCAGGGACCCCUUCCACUGGAGCAGCUUGCUCCAAGCCCCUGUGUCCAACCUGGCCUUGAGCACUGCCAGGGAUGGGGCAGCCACAGCUUCUCUGGGCACCCUGUGCCAGCGCCUCAGCACCCUCACAGGGAAGAGCUUCUGCCUAAGAGCUCAGCUCAGUCUCCCCUCGGGCAGGUUCAAGCCAUUCCCCUUGGCCUGUCCCUACAGGCCCUUGUCCCAAGCCCCUCUCCAGGUUUCCUGCAGGCCCCUGUUAGGUACAGGAGAAUUGUACCCGUUUUCUCCUGAGUCUUUAGCGUCUCCCACAGUGUGGUCCUGCUUCAGCUGAAGCCGUCAGCCAGGAUCAGCUUCUCACCCAGAUAUGACUAAGCCCUUUGAAAGCCAGAAACGCUCAGGAUUUCUUGCUUAAUUGCUAAACCAGCUCAAUUUGAGUGUGCAGAAUGUAACCAAGAGAGGAACUGACACACCUACCUGGUUCCUGCUCAGCCUGAGGACUUGCUUUAAUGGAUGGCUCACGUUGGUUGAUGAUUUCCACCAAGCAGCAAGGCUGCUGUGCCCCUUGCCUGUAGCAGGGGAGGCAAGGGGCCACGUUCCCUGCAGCCCUCCCCAGGCGACUCCAACCACCUGCGCUUUAGGAGCUGAUACCAUCUUAAACCAAUAACAUAGCUGCUGCAAACCAGCAAGUGUAACCUCCAAAGCUCCAGUUUUAGCUGCAGUGUGGCAUGUCAAGGGCUCACGUCCUCCCCACACCCUGUGACCCCAAGGAUUAAGAGCUGCAUCUUUACCAAAAGGGUUCUUAGCCCCUCAAGUUGUGCACAUCAAUCAGUUCCGAGCUGGUUUUGAUCACUCUGGUCACACACAUGUGAGGAUGGAGCAGAGCCAAGAAACGAGGGUGGCUGAUCCCUGCUGCACAGUGUGAGCAAUCUCCCCCCCCCUUCCUACUCCAGUGAUUUUAUUGGAGCCUCAUCACAUUUCCUGGUGACUCACACUUCGCCGGUGACUGGGACGAAGGGCAUGGCGGUACCAACAGGCACCAUGUCCUAUACCCAUGGAAGUCGUCCCUUUGCACCUCCCGCCACUCAGAGCUCUCUCUCCCCUGUGUUAAGGCUCUGUAGCCCAUGGCUGGCCCUCUCGAAGCAGCAAACACGGUGGCUUUUCCUCUCCCCAUUGGCCCAGGGUACCUGGGCCAUGCACCCACCAUCUCCCUGCCA